UCAAGAAAUAAUAAACACUUAAUUACCUAAGACCACAGUCCAAAAUUUAAAGAUCGUGGCGGUGCCUUAUAACAUCAGGGGAACCUGUCCCUUAAUUUGAUAAUCCACACAAAACCCUUCCAAAUCUUACCAAACCUGUAUACUGCUGUCGCCAGCAAACUCUAAGUUUGCAUUUAACAAUACGUCAAGUCAAAGUGCAGUCUAUGAUCUGGUGUGAGAUGGGUUACAACCUCAAAAUAGACACCAAACAAGAAUUCAUACGGGUGGACUUGAUAGUAAUGUAUUAAAACAUAAACAUAUCUCUAAAGCAUGUACACAUCGCCCGUCGCUCCCACCAAAUUG
Molecule: ribosomal RNA, 342 nt
Filed under: Marionina tumulicola
Lineage: Eukaryota; Metazoa; Annelida; Clitellata; Enchytraeida; Enchytraeidae
Description: partial 12S ribosomal RNA
Source: RNAcentral